AUACGGAGGGGGUUAGCGUUGUUCGGAAUUACUGGGCGUAAAGCGUACGUAGGCGGAUUAGUAAGUUAGGGGUGAAAUCCCGAGGCUCAACCUCGGAACUGCCUCUAAAACUGCUAGUCUUGAGUUCGAGAGAGGUGAGUGGAAUUCCUAGUGUAGAGGUGAAAUUCGUAGAUAUUAGGAGGAACACCAGUGGCGAAGGCGGCUCACUGGCUCGAUACUGACGCUGAGGUACGAAAGUGUGGGGAGCAAACAGGAUUAGAAACCCUGGUAGUCC
This 274-nucleotide ribosomal RNA is filed under the name uncultured bacterium. Its description in RNAcentral is "partial 16S ribosomal RNA". It matches the Rfam family "Bacterial small subunit ribosomal RNA", at positions 523 to 796 of the family's 1533-position model. The record is from RNAcentral.